GUUUAGGUCGUUCUAUGGAAACACUGUCCCACCCUAAGUCCACUAUUGAGAGCGGCGUGUACUUGUCCCAGAGAGGGUGAAAGGCCCGUGAGGGUGGGAUGCAGACUGGUCAGUGUUUCUCUAGAUAGACCUUGGAGUCGGGUUGUUUGUGAAUGCAGCCCAAAGCGGGUGGUAAACUCCAUCCAAGGCUAAAUACUUGCACGAGUCCGAUAGCGAACAAGUACCGUGAGGGAAAGUUGAAAAGUACUUUGAAGAGAGAGUAAACAGUGCGUGAAACCGCUCAAAGGUAAACGGGUAGAGUUGAACUGCAAGCUCUGAGAAAUCAGCUGGUGAGUUUGGUAUGAUCUUGGUCAUAUGAGUUGUCUUCCGGAGUCCGCGGUUCGCCGUGGGUCUGACCCUUCGGGGUGGAUGCGUUAAGUGCUUAUCAGGUGCUGUGCGCUUCGGUUGUGUCGAACUUGCUCGCCAGUGCACGUUCUCAGAGUGUUCACCACGACCGGCGCGGCCGUCUGUCUGCUGUAGUCAAACCCGGUCUGCUUGGUCCUUGUGGCCUCGUAGGUCGGGGAUGGCAGGUAGCUUGGUGGAGCGUAUCAGCAAUGGUGCCUCUGUCGAGUGUAAUGAGCUGGGUGCGGCAGUACUGUACGGUGCGUCGGAGACGGCGGUUUGGUGUGGGUGCGCGUUGCUUUGUUCAGCAUAGCAGCUUCGAGUCUGGUUGUCGUGUUGCUUGUUACGGCAGGCCCGG
This 739-nucleotide ribosomal RNA is filed under the name Gymnophalloides nacellae. RNAcentral describes it as "partial large subunit ribosomal RNA". It matches the Rfam family "Eukaryotic large subunit ribosomal RNA", at positions 150 to 630 of the family's 3401-position model. The record is from RNAcentral. Lineage: Eukaryota; Metazoa; Platyhelminthes; Trematoda; Gymnophallidae.